AUUGAACGCUGGCGGCAGGCUUAACACAUGCAAGUCGAGCGGGGGAAGGUAGCUUGCUACCGGACCUAGCGGCGGACGGGUGAGUAAUGCUUAGGAAUCUGCCUAUUAGUGGGGGACAACAUCUCGAAAGGGAUGCUAAUACCGCAUACGUCCUACGGGAGAAAGCAGGGGAUCUUCGGACCUUGCGCUAAUAGAUGAGCCUAAGUCGGAUUAGCUAGUUGGUGGGGUAAAGGCCUACCAAGGCGACGAUCUGUAGCGGGUCUGAGAGGAUGAUCCGCCACACGGGGACUGAGACAUGGCCCAGACUCAUACGGGAGGCAGCAGUGGGGAAUAUUGGACAAUGGGGGGAACCCUGAUCCAGCCAUGCCGCGUGUGUGAAGAAGGCCUUAUGGUUGUAAAGCACUUUAAGCGAGGAGGAGGCUACUUUAGUUAAUACCUAGGGAUAGUGGACGUUACUCGCAGAAUAAGCACCGGCUAACUCUGUGCCAGCAGCAGCCGCGG
This 501-nucleotide ribosomal RNA is filed under the name uncultured bacterium. Its description in RNAcentral is "partial 16S ribosomal RNA". It matches the Rfam family "Bacterial small subunit ribosomal RNA", at positions 30 to 523 of the family's 1533-position model. The record is from RNAcentral.